CGCAUCUGUGCAUGCAGCAUAUCAAUAAGCGGAGGAAAAGAAACUAACAAGGAUUCCCUUAGUAACGGCGAGUGAAGCGGGAAGAGCUCAAAUUUGAAAUCUUCAAGGUUUUACCUUGACGAAUUGUAGUUUAAAGAAGUGUUUUCUGUUGAAGUUUUGGUAAAAGUUCUUUGGAAUAGGACAUCAUAGAGGGUGAGAAUCCCGUAUUUGACCAUUAUUUUCAGCUGUGUGAUACGCUUUCAAAGAGUCGGAUUGUUUGGGAAUGCAGUCCAAAAUGGGUGGUAAAUUUCAUCUAAAGCUAAAUAUUGGCGAGAGACCGAUAGCGAACAAGUACCGUGAGGGAAAGAUGAAAAGAACUUUGAAAAGAGAGUUAAACAGUACGUGAAAUUGUCAAAAGGGAAGCGUUUGACACCAGUGUUGUUUUCUCGAAAAUCAAUUAAAAAGAGUUUGAUUUUGUUGUGUAUUGACCUUAACAGCUUGCAUUUCAAUUUUCUUGCUUUUUUUAAUGCACUUUUCGUUUAACAAGUCAACAUCAGUUUCUUUUGUUGUAAAAAGGUCAUUGGAAGGUGGCUUUCUUUUCGGAGAAAGUGUUUAUAGCCUUUGACUCCUGCAAUCGGAGAGACUGAGGUCUGCAGCGUAGAUCCUUCGGGGUUAGAUACAUUUGUGCUAAGUUAUAGCUUUUUAUAGACAACUUGUUGACUAUGAUUAGUCUUGUAGCUUACUCGCUUAUGCUAUUUUACCUACGCUUAGGAUGUUGAACUCUAUCACACACA
Molecule: ribosomal RNA, 773 nt
Filed under: uncultured Neocallimastigales
Lineage: Eukaryota; Fungi; Neocallimastigomycota; Neocallimastigomycetes; Neocallimastigales
Description: partial large subunit ribosomal RNA
Rfam family: Eukaryotic large subunit ribosomal RNA
Source: RNAcentral